RNAcentral lists this non-coding RNA (46 nucleotides) under Schistosoma mansoni. The record is from RNAcentral. Lineage: Eukaryota; Metazoa; Platyhelminthes; Trematoda; Strigeidida; Schistosomatidae.
GAACUGCUGAGGAGUCCCAGAAUAGAACUAAACGGUCGUCUAGUGU